AGGGAAAAAUCAGGGUUAUUUUUUACUUCUAUGUGUAUGUAAAAUGCCUUUUUUUUAUUUUUCAGCAUCAGCAACAGUCUUAUAUUGAAAUUUGAAGUCUGCUCUUGGAGAUCAAACUUCUGCAAAAAGAUGAAGCACACCUUCUGUUUCAAAGGACAGCAGGGGGCUCAUGAACUACAUGGAGUAAUGCCCUCUGUUCCUGGUGGCUCCUCAAUCAACAAGGCACAAGGAUUAAAGGAAAAUACUCAUCUUGGGAAGUUCAUGGGAACAUGA
Molecule: long non-coding RNA, 273 nt
Filed under: Zonotrichia albicollis (white-throated sparrow)
Lineage: Eukaryota; Metazoa; Chordata; Aves; Passeriformes; Passerellidae
Description: lncRNA (ENSZALG00000004410.1)
Source: RNAcentral